UGAGGAAUUUUGCGCAAUGGGAGCAAUCCUGACGCAGCAACGCCGCGUGGGUGAUGAAGGCCUUCGGGUCGUAAAGCCCUGUCAGGUGGGAAGAAUGUCCCGGGACUGAACAGGUUUCGGGAGUGACGGUACCGCCAGAGGAAGCACCGGCUAACUCCGUGCCAGCAGCCGCGGUAAUACGGAGGGUGCAAGCGUUAUUCGGAAUUACUGGGCGUAAAGGGCGUGCAGGCGGGAGAGCAAGGCUGAUGUGAAAGCACCGGGCUUAACCCGGGAAGUGCAUUGGAAACUGUGGGACUUGAGUACUGGAGAGGAUGGGUGAAUUCCCGGUGUAGAGGUGAAAUUCGUAGAGAUCGGGAGGAAUAUCAGUGGCGAAGGCGCCCAUCUGGACGGUAACUGACGCUGAGACGCGAAAGCGUGGGGAGCAAACA
Molecule: ribosomal RNA, 428 nt
Filed under: uncultured prokaryote
Description: bacterial SSU rRNA
Rfam family: Bacterial small subunit ribosomal RNA
Source: RNAcentral